UUGCGCGCUGGCGGCAGGCCUAACACAUGCAGGUCGAACGGUAACAGAAAGCAGCUUGCUGCUUUGCUGACGAGUGGCGGACGGGUGAGUAAUGUCUGGGAAACUGCCUGAUGGAGGGGGAUAACUACUGGAAACGGUAGCUAAUACCGCAUAACGUCGCAAGACCAAAGAGGGGGACCUUCGGGCCUCUUGCCAUCGGAUGUGCCCAGAUGGGAUUAGCUAGUAGGUGGGGUAACGGCUCACCUAGGCGACGAUCCCUAGCUGGUCUGAGAGGAUGACCAGCCACACUGGAACUGAGACACGGUCCAGACUCCUACGGGAGGCAGCAGUGGGGAAUAUUGCACAAUGGGCGCAAGCCUGAUGCAGCCAUGCCGCGUGUAUGAAGAAGGCCUUCGGGUUGUAAAGUACUUUCAGCGGGGAGGAAGGGAGUAAAGUUAAUACCUUUGCUCAUUGACGUUACCCGCAGAAGAAGCACCGGCUAACUCCGUG
This 489-nucleotide ribosomal RNA is filed under the name uncultured bacterium. RNAcentral's name for it is "partial 16S ribosomal RNA". It matches the Rfam family "Bacterial small subunit ribosomal RNA", at positions 30 to 507 of the family's 1533-position model. The record is from RNAcentral.